GAUGAACGCUGGCGGCGUGCCUAAUACAUGCAAGUCGAACGGAAAGGCCCUGCUUUUGUGGGGUGCUCGAGUGGCGAACGGGGGAGUAACACGUGAGUAACCUGCCCUUGACUUUGGGAUAACUUCAGGAAACUGGGGCUAAAAUCGGGUAGGAGCUCCUGCUGCGUGGUGGGGGAUGGUAAGUUUCGGCGGUGGGGGAUGGACUCGAGGCUUAUCAGCUUGUUGGUGGGGUAGUGGCUUACCAAGGCUUUGACGGGUAGCCGGCCUGAGAGGGUGACCGGCCACAUUGGGACUGAGAGACGGCCCAGACUCCUACGGGAGGCAGCAGUGGGGAAUAUUGCACAAUGGGCGGAAGCCUGAUGCAGCAACGCCGCGUGCGGGAUGACGGCCUUCGGGUUGUAAACCGCUUUCGCCUGUGACGAAGCGUGAGUGACGGUAAUGGGUAAAGAAGCACCGGCUAACUACGUG
This 468-nucleotide ribosomal RNA is filed under the name uncultured bacterium. RNAcentral's name for it is "partial 16S ribosomal RNA". It matches the Rfam family "Bacterial small subunit ribosomal RNA", at positions 28 to 507 of the family's 1533-position model. The record is from RNAcentral.